UACGAAGGUCCCAAGCGUUGUUCGGAAUCACUGGGCGUAAAGGGUGCGUAGGUGGCGCCGUAAGUCAGGUGUGAAAUCUCGGGGCUCAACCCCGAAACUGCACUUGAUACUGCGGUGCUCGAGUACUGGAGAGGAGAUUGGAAUUUACGGUGUAGCAGUGAAAUGCGUAGAUAUCGUAAGGAAGACCAGUGGCGAAGGCGAAUCUCUGGACAGUUACUGACACUGAGGCACGAAGGCCAGGGGAGCAAACGGG
This 253-nucleotide ribosomal RNA is filed under the name uncultured bacterium. Its description in RNAcentral is "partial 16S ribosomal RNA". It matches the Rfam family "Bacterial small subunit ribosomal RNA", at positions 524 to 776 of the family's 1533-position model. The record is from RNAcentral.